AUGUGCCUACGGGGCGCAGCAGUCGGGAAUAUUGCGCAAUGGAGGAAACCCUGACGCAGUGACGCCGCGUAUAGGAAGAAGGUUUUCGGAUUGUAAACUAUUGUCGGUAGGGAAGAUAAAAGACUGUACCUAAGGAGGAAGCCCCGGCUAACUAUGUGCCAGCAGCCGCGGUAAUACAUAGGGGGCAAGCGUUAUCCGGAAUUAUUGGGUGUAAAGGGUGCGUAGACGGAGGAACAAGUCGGUUGUGAAAUCCCUCGGC
Molecule: ribosomal RNA, 259 nt
Filed under: uncultured bacterium
Lineage: Bacteria
Description: partial 16S ribosomal RNA
Rfam family: Bacterial small subunit ribosomal RNA
Source: RNAcentral